CCUACGGGCGGCAGCAGUGGGGAAUAUUGGACAAUGGGGGGAACCCUGAUCCAGCCAUGCCGCGUGUGUGAAGAAGGCCCUCGGGUUGUAAAGCACUUUCAGUGAGGAAGAACGCCUGGUGGUUAAUACCCAUCAGGAAAGACAUCACUCACAGAAGAAGCACCGGCUAACUCCGUGCCAGCAGCCGCGGUAAUACGGAGGGUGCGAGCGUUAAUCGGAAUUACUGGGCGUAAAGCGCGCGUAGGUGGCUUGAUAAGCCGGUUGUGAAAGCCCCGGGCUCAACCUGGGAACGGCAUCCGGAACUGUCAAGCUAGAGUGCAGGAGAGGAAGGUAGAAUUCCCGGUGUAGCGGUGAACUGCGUCGAGAGCGGGAGGAAUACCAGUGGCGAAGGCGGCCUUCUGGACUGACACUGACACUGAGGUGCGAAAGCGUGGGUAGCAAACAGGAUUAGAUACCCGUGUAGUC
This 465-nucleotide ribosomal RNA is filed under the name Vreelandella stevensii. RNAcentral describes it as "partial 16S ribosomal RNA". It matches the Rfam family "Bacterial small subunit ribosomal RNA", at positions 338 to 795 of the family's 1533-position model. Lineage: Bacteria; Pseudomonadati; Pseudomonadota; Gammaproteobacteria; Oceanospirillales; Halomonadaceae. The record is from RNAcentral.